This is a long non-coding RNA of Hylaeus volcanicus, 1726 nucleotides long. RefSeq lists it as uncharacterized. The record is from RefSeq and is a predicted model, not a curated record. Lineage: Eukaryota; Metazoa; Arthropoda; Insecta; Hymenoptera; Colletidae. The transcript is spliced from 2 exons.
CCGAUUUGUUCAUCUCGUCUACCAUUUUACGCAACGACGAGGAGGGUGGCCAGGGAACCGCGUUUCUGUUUAGCUUGGAAGCAGUGGCUCGGAUCUCUUCGUCGUGACGGACGUCAGGGAUACUGCGAUGGCUGAAAAGCUGACCUAUCGCUCGGGCCGGCGGCCUUUUAACCCUUCUUACAUCUCGAUACGUGUACCGGAUAGUUUGUACGGCGGGAAUAGCGAAGAGUGAUCGAUCGAGAUGCCGGAAAAAUUCGUUUAAAUUUGUUUAAUCUCGGAGGGGGAUGGGGGGAGGGUUGGGGGUUGGGGACGCGAUAUCGAAACAUUUCGAUCUUCUUCGCGACUUUGGCGAUCGUGGACAGUCGACCUCGGAGUGCGAUCUUCAAUUCUGGAUUUUGUUAUGGAGACUUGGAGUGUAUUUUCCUGAAGGUACGUUUAGGUGACAAGUCAAUUCGAAUAUUAUAAUCCGAAUAUAAAGAUUACGAGCGCUAAUAAAUAUUCAUCGUGAAAUUUUCCUGCUUGUCAACGUCAUACAACAAAAAUUCCUAUUUUAUGUCACUUUAAAAUAAUAUGCAAUUUAUUCCCGAAGAGGUCGGAAUCAUAAAAAAGUGAUACAUUAAUGCAGUUAUUAGCGUCGUGCUGCAUCCAGAAUUGCAAGAUAACGCUGAGAAAUGUCACCAUCGAUAAACUAAAGCACUGAGCGACAUAAAAAGAGUACUACCUGAUCGAGAAGAUUUAAAAAAAAAAAAAAAAACGAACAAGACAUCUAUACCGUAUAAGCACCGAUUAAGAUCGAUGAGGGUUUUACUUAGAAAUCAGAAUUCAUCUGAAAUCAAUGAUUACACUCUUCCAAAAUUCGAUACAAACCCAACGACCCAUGUGUACCGAAAAGUAAUGUCGAUGCAAUAGACUGUACCAGCUUCCGUUUGAGAUCUACGAACGUAAAUCGCGAUCGCAAUCGGCGAAAGGAACAUCUAGAACAGCAGAACCCCGUCCAAUAGGAAUAGGUGUGUAAAGAGGAAGAGGAAGAGGAAAAAGCCUUUCACGAAUACCGCGUUACUCGUUUGUUUCGCGACGUCGCGUUUUCUAUUACGUUCAAGGAUUACGUUUCACGUUUCCUCUCGUUCAGGCGUAAUAGAAGGGAAUUGCAUCGUGAAAGCGCUCGCAUAACAUUCGUAAUGAACAGCGUAUCAGUAUCGGUGCGUAAGAGAGGGAUGCUAAGUCAUCGCGCCAUGGAUUACGCUCGAGGAAAGUGGAGUAGUAGUGUCGUUUCCCCAUUCGUGGUUCUUGACCAUUGAUCUGAUCGCGAUAUACAUUUAGAUCAACGACGAAACGACACAAAUACCAGUUAAGUUAGUUUGUCAAUAGGGUGCUUUGACUCGCGUCACUUUGCAAAGUGGUUCGCCGCUCGCUUGUACAAACACUGUAUCUUUGUAUAAAAGUUCUGGAUUCUGCACGAAGAACAAGGGUGGCCCUUAUUUUACAAUUUUCGAAACAUUAGAUUCAUAGAUUUUUAGAUUCUUCUCUUUUAGUUUUGGCUCAAAAUAAUCUUUUACUUAAACUGAAGAAUAUAGUUUUCCCGAUACUACUUCAAGUGAUCGAUUUAGAACGAUUAAAAUCAGAACGAUCUAUCGAAAAAGCUGUUGAAAUUGGUAUCCAGUUGACAAGAAAUAUCAUGUAUGUAUUGCUUCCCAAUAAAACGAAAGAAACUUUUCGGACAACCUAA